RNAcentral lists this ribosomal RNA (802 nucleotides) under uncultured Diversispora. RNAcentral's name for it is "SSU rRNA". It matches the Rfam family "Eukaryotic small subunit ribosomal RNA", at positions 314 to 1114 of the family's 1831-position model. Lineage: Eukaryota; Fungi; Glomeromycota; Glomeromycetes; Diversisporales; Diversisporaceae. The record is from RNAcentral.
AUCAACUUUCGAUUGGUAGGAUAGAGGCCUACCAUGGUUUUAACGGGUAACGGGGAAUUAGGGUUCGAUUCCGGAGAGGGAGCCUGAGAAACGGCUACCACAUCCAAGGAAGGCAGCAGGCGCGCAAAUUACCCAAUCCCGACACGGGGAGGUAGUGACAAUAAAUAACAAUACGGGGCUCAUUUGGGUCUCGUAAUUGGAAUGAGUACAAUUUAAAUCCCUUAACGAGGAACAAUUGGAGGGCAAGUCUGGUGCCAGCAGCCGCGGUAAUUCCAGCUCCAAUAGCGUAUAUUAAAGUUGUUGCAGUUAAAAAGCUCGUAGUUGAACUUCGGGGUUUACCCAUUGGUCAGGCUUAAUUGUCUGCACUGGUGAGAUAAAUCUCUACCUUCUGAGGAACUUUCAUGCCAUUUAUUUGGUGUGAUGGGAAAUCAGGACUGUUACUUUGAAAAAAUUAGAGUGUUUAAAGCAGGCUAACGUCUGAAUACAUUAGCAUGGAAUAAUGAAAUAGGACGGACUGAUUCUAUUUCGUUGGUUUCUAGGAUCACCGUAAUGAUUAAUAGGGAUAGUUGGGGGCAUUAGUAUUCAAUUGUCAGAGGUGAAAUUCUUGGAUUUAUUGAAGACUAACUACUGCGAAAGCAUUUGCCAAGGAUGUUUUCAUUAAUCAAGAACGAAAGUUAGGGGAUCGAAGACGAUCAGAUACCGUCGUAGUCUUAACCAUAAACUAUGCCGACUAGGGAUCGGAUGAUGUUAAUUUUUUAAUGACUCUUUCGGCGCCCUUACCGGAAACCAAGUGUUUGGGUUC